GUAAUGCUUGGGAAUCUGGCUUAUGGAGGGGGACAACAGUGGGAAACUGCAGCUAAUACCGCGUAUUCUCUGAGGAGGAAAGGGUGGGACCUUAGGGCCACCUGCCAUAAGAUGAGCCCAAGUGGGAUUAGGUAGUUGGUGGGGUAAAGGCCUACCAAGCCUGCGAUCUCUAGCUGGUCUGAGAGGAUGACCAGCCACACUGGAACUGAGACACGGUCCAGACUCCUACGGGAGGCAGCAGUGGGGAAUAUUGCGCAAUGGGGGGAACCCUGACGCAGCCAUGCCGCGUGAAUGAAGAAGGCCUUCGGGUUGUAAAGUUCUUUCGGUAAUGAGGAAGGGAUGUUGUUAAAUAGAUAGCAUCAUUGACGUUAAUUACAGAAGAAGCACCGGCUAACUCCGUGCCAGCAGCCGCGGUAAUACGGAGGGUGCGAGCGUUAAUCGGAAUAACUGGGCGUAAAGGGCAACGCAGGCGGACUUUUAAGUGAGAUGUGAAAUCCCCGAGCUUAACUUGGGAACUGCAUUUCAGACUGGGAGUCUAGAGUACUUUAGGGAGGGGUAGAAUU
RNAcentral lists this ribosomal RNA (563 nucleotides) under Pasteurella multocida. RNAcentral's name for it is "bacterial SSU rRNA". It matches the Rfam family "Bacterial small subunit ribosomal RNA", at positions 110 to 668 of the family's 1533-position model. The record is from RNAcentral. Lineage: Bacteria; Pseudomonadati; Pseudomonadota; Gammaproteobacteria; Pasteurellales; Pasteurellaceae.